GUCUACAGCCAUACCACCCUGAAUGCACCCGAUCUCAUCUGAUCUCAGAAGCUAAGCAGAGUUGGGCCUGGUUAGUACUUGGAUGGGAGAAAUUGACAUAUUUAUGCUGAAAUUU
This 115-nucleotide ribosomal RNA is filed under the name Prolemur simus (greater bamboo lemur). The record is from RNAcentral. Lineage: Eukaryota; Metazoa; Chordata; Mammalia; Primates; Lemuridae.